AUAAGCUAUUAAGGGCUAAUGGUGGAUGCCUUGACUGUAAGAGGCGAUGAAGGACGUAUUAGGCUGCGAUAAGCCUCGGGGAGCUGCCAAAGAGCUUUGAUCCGAGGAUUUCCGAAUGGGGCAACCCAGCAUAUAGAGAUAUAUGUUACCCUACGGGGAGCGAACCUGGUGAAGUGAAACAUCUCAGUAGCCAGAGGAAGAGAAAUCAAAUGAGAUUCCCAUAGUAGCGGCGAGCGAACUGGGAUUAGGACAAACCCAAUGCUUGCAUUGGGGGUUGUAGGACUAUAAUGUGUAAUUAAAGAGAAUAGAUGAAUUAGUUGGAAAACUAGAGCAUAGAAGGUGAUACUCCUGUAAUUAAAAUUCUCAAUAAUACUAAUAGUAUCCUGAGUAGGUCGGAACACGUGAUAUUUUGACUGAAGCUGGGGGGACCACCCUCCAAUCCUAAAUACUACUUACAGAUCGAUAGUGAACAAGUACCGUGAGGGAAAGGUGAAAAGUACUGCAGCGAGCAGAGUGAAAUAGAACCUGAAACCAUUAGCUUACAAUCAUUCAGAGCCCUAUGAUUUAUCAGGGUGAUGGACUGCCUUUUGCAUAAUGAGCCUGCGAGUUGUGGUGUCUGGCAAGGUUAAGCCAAGUGCGAAGCCGUAGCGAAAGCGAGUCUUAAUAGGGCGACAUAGUCAGAUGCUGCAGACCCGAAACUGAGUGAUCUAUCCAUGAGCAGGUUGAAGCUGGUGUAAGAGCCAGUGGAGGACCGAACCCGCUGACGUUGAAAAGUCUUGGGAUGACUUGUGGAUAGGGGUGAAAGGCCAAUCAAACUCAGUGAUAGCUGGUUCUCUCCGAAAUAUAUUUAGGUAUAGCGUCUUGUCGUAGCAUAUAGGGGUAGAGCACUGAUUGGGCUAGGGCUGCUUACCGCGGUACCAAACCCUGUCAAACUCCGAAUACUAUAUGUGUAAUCAAGGCAGUCAGGCGGUGGGUGAUAAAAUCAAUCGUCGAGAGGGGAACAACCCAGACUACCAGCUAAGGUCCCAAAGUCAUAUCUAAGUGGAAAACGAUGUGGAGUUACUGUGACAACCAGGAGGUUGGCUUAGAAGCAGCCAUCCUUUAAAGAAAGCGUAACAGCUCACUGGUCUAGUGAUUCUGCGCGGAAAAUAUAACGGGGCUAAGAUGUACACCGAAGCUUUAGAUUCAAUUUUCAAUUGAGUGGUAGGAGAGCGUUCUAUUCAGCGUUGAAGGUAUACCGGUAAGGAGUGCUGGAGCGGAUAGAAGUGAGCAUGCAGGCAUGAGUAGCGAUAAUUAAGGUGAGAAUCCUUAACGCCGAAAACCCAAGGUUUCCUACGCGAUGCUCGUCAUCGUAGGGUUAGUCGGGUCCUAAGUCGAGACUGAAAAGUGUAGACGAUGGCAAAUUGGUUAAUAUUCCAAUACCAACAUAUAAGCGCGAUGUGGGGACGCAUAGAGUUAGUCGAGCUCACUGAUGGAAUAGUGGGUCGAAGGAUGUAGGUUGUUAAGUAGGCAAAUCCGCUUAACGUUAGACCGAGAUCUUACAGGCUCUUGACACUCUUCGGAGGAGAUGGAGAAUCGAUGAUACUGUCGUGCCAAGAAAAGCCACUAAGUUUAUUAUAUGUUGCCCGUACCGUAAACCGACACAGGUGGGUGGGAUGAGUAUUCUAAGGCGCGUGGAAGAACCCUCUUUAAGGAACUCUGCAAAAUAGCACCGUAUCUUCGGUAUAAGGUGUGCCUACUUUGGUAUAUGGACUUGCUCCAAAAAGCUAGAGAGGUUGCAACAAAGAGUCCCUCCCGACUGUUUACCAAAAACACAGCACUUUGCUAACACGUAAGUGGAUGUAUAAGGUGUGACGCCUGCCCGGUGCUCGAAGGUUAAUUGAUGAUGUCAGCGCAAGCGAAGCAUUUGAUCGAAGCCCGAGUAAACGGCGGCCGUAACUAUAACGGUCCUAAGGUAGCGAAAUUCCUUGUCAGUUAAAUACUGACCUGCAUGAAUGGCGUAACGAGAUGGGAGCUGUCUCAAAGAGGGAUCCAGUGAAAUUGUAGUGGAGGUGAAAAUUCCUCCUACCCGCGGAAAGAC
RNAcentral lists this ribosomal RNA (2080 nucleotides) under anaerobic digester metagenome. RNAcentral describes it as "bacterial LSU rRNA". It matches the Rfam family "Bacterial large subunit ribosomal RNA", at positions 1 to 2081 of the family's 2925-position model. The record is from RNAcentral.